CCUUGAAACCCUAUGGAGGGAUGUUGAUAUGAACAGGCACCAUCACAAUCCUAAUAAGGAGUUGAAUCUUGUAAUUGUAUCCCAUGGUCUAGCUAGUCAAGUUUUUCUAAUGAAGUGGUUCAAGUGGACAGUGGAACAAUUCGAGUACCUAAACAAUCUAGGGAAUUGUGAGUUUCGAGUUAUGGAAUUAGGGGCGGGUGGUGAAUAUAGCCUAGCAGUCCAUCAUACUGAUGAAGAGAUGCUAGAAUGGGGUAUGUCCCCUGAGAUGAUCGCUGACCAAAAAUGGCGAGCUAAUGCUAACAGGGGUACUUUGAAUGAUCAUUGCCCUUGGUACCUUGAUGCUUUCUUUGACCAUUUAGCGGAUUCAAAUGACAAAGAUGAUGAAGAUGUGAAGUCAAACAACUAGUAUCUCCCCUUAGCAUGACAUUGAUAAUGUGUAUUCGUUCCAAUUCUGUUGUACUGUUCAUUUGGUUAACUGAUAGAAAUGUUUGUAAGCUCUUUUCAAGUUGUUGUUACAAUUUUAUGCCCGGAGGCAUUAUCAGUGUCAAUUUCUUGUAAAUUUGAAACUUUCAAUUGUAUAACAAUCAUUUGAUAUCAAGGAUGAAGUAUGAAUUUAGUUUUUGACUGGUAAAAUUAUGAUUUUUAAACAGGAUGAAGAUUGAUUUAGUUUUGACAGGGUCAAGUUACAAGUUUUAGACCAGUUUUCACUGCUGAGGUCGUUGUUUUAACUGACGUAUAAUGGAAGGUAAUGCAGAGUUGAAAGGACUUUGCAUUGAAAUUCACCUUAUCAAGUUCUCUCGAGUCUAAUUCUGAAAACUUUGACCAAUGACCAUUAUUUUGACAUGGAAUGAAAAAUUGCCACAUAUAAUUUUUUAAUAUCUAAAUUAAAAUUUUAAGGUAUUGAAUUGAUUCAAAGCUUAUAAGUCAAUUAAACUGACUUAUAAACAUUCAAAAUGCUUAUGAGCCAAAAUCAACAAAAGUCAUUAGUAAUCGACCUCAACUUAUUAUUUCUUCAGAUUAUAAGCACUUUUAGUUAUCGAGCCUUCACUCUUAUGCAAUAGUUUGCAAACCACACAAGAGAGGUAAUUCGCACUAGGUAAACCCAGUGCGACAAGCUCGACCCAGAAAACAAAUCCCUUGCUUUCAGUGGCAAGAGAUUUCAAACUUGAGACCUCCAAUAUGAAAGUCUCAAGCCCAAACCACUAGGUUACUCGAAGAGUCAUUUUAUAAAUAAAUUUUCAAAAACAAAACUUCUAACUUCCCUCCAUCCCAUAUACACCAUUCAUCCUUUUCCUAACGAAAAUAUUUUUAUAUUUAUAAUUUGUAAUAAAGAAAGGAUGAAAAAUAAUAUGUUAAUCAUUUAUUUAUUAAAUUAAUUUUAAUACUAGAAAAAUUCUUAUGAACACGUAAUGUUUAAUAAUUUUCAUAUAUACUUCCCUGGUUGUAUAUGAGUUGAAUAAAAAAUAUCAAAUGAACGGUUGUUUUCAAACGAACUUUUUUAAGUAUCAGAUUCUUUGUAGGUGAUUUUCAUGUAAUUUCACAAAUUUGGAACUUAGCUCAUACGCUAAAAGAAUGCCGCGUGGGACAUAUAACUCUUAGCUUGACUCAAUUUUUAAUUACUCUCUAGUCAAGUCUAGUCCUUCAAUAUGCCAACAAAAACGACAUAUACGAAUAAAAAAAAGGACAAAAAAAUGUAAAUUGACUUCAUUAAUUAAGGAAGUCUUUUAAUAAUUCAUUGUAAUUAUUUAUUUGCUAAAAGCUUAUGUGGAACUGUAAACAUAUGUAUAAUUAAUUAUCUAAUGCAAAUAUAAAUGAAAACUUUUCACGCAUGCAAUGUAGUUGUAUAAUUAAUAAGGGAAACAUACUUUAUUAUUUAUGGUAAAUUAACAGAAGGAUAUUCUCUUAUGAGUUAAUUAAUUAUCGUAAUUAAUUUUUUCCAUCUUCUAAAGAAAAUGACUUGAAAAGAUGUAAUUAACUUGAAUAUCUAAUUAGUUAAGGUAACUUCAAUUAAGAAACUUUGCCGUAUGUUUAGGGCCACAAUAUAAUUCUCCAUGCAGGACAACGUAAAAUUAAUCAAUAUUGCGACAGGUCUCCUACUUGUCUACCACAAAAAAAAAAAUUAAAAAAAAUAAUGACACAGAAGAUGCCAACAUGAGCAUGUGAGGAGGUUCCGAUAGUGCAGUGCAGUGGUACGUCGUAAGGGAUUUUGAAUUUGAGUCUUAGUAUAAAAUUGUUUUUGAUAAAGAAGGUUUUAUUUCUAAAUUAGUUAAAUUUUCUAAUAUAAAUUCAAAUUAGUUGGACUCUAAAAUAAUUAUCAAACACUGAGUUAAGAAAAAGAGAGGAACAUGUGGGGAAGUUCUUGGAACGUUACAUAUUUUGUUCUCAUCAGAAUAUUUAGGCAUUAUUAUUGUAUUCGUUAAGAGAGCAUGUUAGACUUUACUAGUUCUUUAAAGGAUAUUCGUAAGGUAUAUUGUUCAAUAUAAACUUUGUUUUGUUGGACAUAUAUAAAUUAUAUUUAGUAUGAUAUUUUCUCAAUUUAUAUGAUAUUUUUUCUGAUAUAUUGUUUCAAUUAAAAUGACGUCUUUUUAUAUUUUAAGUAUUUUUUUAAUUUAUCAUUAAUUAAAUGAAUUAUAGAUAUAAAAAUUUCUAUGACUUACUUACAUCCAAGUUUAAUAACUUCUUUUAACAUUUCACAUCAAAUUAAACAAGAUGGAUAACUAUUUUUUAAGCCUUGUUUGCGAGGAAAACUUAUACUACUUACUUUUCAUUUUACGAUCUCGACAUUUUAUAAUAUGUUAGUUAUUAUCAAAUUGAAAUUUAUGAUAUAAAAAGACUUACUAUACGUAAGACUAUUACAAGUCAUUUAUUUAAUUGUAUUCAUAUCUUUUAUUCUGUGCAUUGAAUAUAAACUCUGCGAAUAUUAUAGGUCUACGAAGACUCGGAUGCUCAGUCAAAGUUGCAUCACCUUCAUUUUCAAACUAUACAAAAAAAAAAAAUUAAAAAAAUCUAUAUAUGAGAAAAUGAAAAAUAGUCUUAUAUAUGUGAGAAUAUGUAUAAAAUAGUCCCUAAAGUUUAAUUUUAAUAGUUUUGGUUCUUUAAGUUUAUCAAAGGUUAAUACUUUUGAUUUCGUCAAAUAUUUAACGUACUUAAAAUGUUAAUACUUUUGAUUUUGUCAAAUAUUUAACGAACUUUAGUAAUUUGAUGAGAUAUACGAAGUAUUUUUUAAUCAUAAGAGUAAGAAAGUCUCAUGAAAUCCUAAAAAUCGCAAUAUAAAAAACUACACUAGAUAAAAAUUGUACAAAACAACACACCAAAUUCUAGAAAGAAACCAAAACUUACAAAAAUAGUAACUCCAAACGCAAUUCCCACUAAAAAAAAUAUUGCUUUCAUAGUUUCCGUCAAAUCAGACAAAAAGUAAUACCAACUCUUUGCAAACUUUAGGGACCAAAACAGUUGAAAUCAUCAUACUUUAGGGACUAUUUAUCAUUUUUUUCACUAUUUGGCCUUUUUUCAUGUAUAUAAACCAUGUGAACUUCGUGCAUGAUAUAUCACCGAAAUAACACAAACAUCAAUAGAAGUUGAAAGCAUGCUAGGGUUCUGAAAGUGUUCUAGAUUCAUAAAACAACUCUCUCUGUCACUGUCGCCGGAGAUUAUUAUUUCCCGAUCUGAUCGAAAGCAGGUCACCGGGAACAAUGGCGUUAGCUUUCGAUGAAUUCGGAAGGCCGUUUAUAAUACUAAGGGAGCAAGAACAAAAAACUAGAUUAAGAGGCCUCGAUGCUCAGAAGGCCAACAUUUCUGCCAGAAAAGCUGUUGCACGUAUUUUACGUACCUCACUUAGUCCUAAAGGCAUGGAUAAGAUGCUUCAGAGCCCUGACGGCGAUGUCACCAUCACAAAUGAUGGUGCCACCAUUUUGGAGCAGAUGGAUGUUGACAAUCAGAUUGGAAAGUUGAUGAUUGAGUUGUCACGAAGUCAAGAUUAUGAAAUUGGCGAUGGAACCACUGGAGUUGUUGUCAUGGCUGGGGCACUGCUAGAACAAGCUGAGAAGUUGUUAGAACGUGGUAUUCAUCCUAUUUGGAUUGCAGAAGGGUAUGAAAUGGCUUCAAGGAUUGCAGUUGAGCAUUUGGAGCGUGUAGCACAUAAGAUUGAAUUCGGUCUGAAUGACAUUGAGCCUUUGGUUCAAACUUGCAUGACUACUUUGUCAUCUAAGAUUGUGAAUAGAUGAUGCAAACGUAGCAUGGCUGAAAUUGCUGUUAAAGCUGUUUUAGCAGUUGCUGAUUUAGAGAGGAAGGAUGUAAACCUGGACUUGAUCAAAGUUGAAGGGAAAGUUGGUGGGAAGUUAGAGGACACAGAGCUAAUUUAUGGUAUUAUAGUUGACAAAGAUAUGAGUCAUCCACAGAUGCCAAAGCAAAUUGAGGAUGCGAAAAUUGCAAUUUUGACAUGUCCUUUUGAGCCUCCUAAGCCAAAGACUAAGCAUAAGGUUGACAUUGAUACUGUGGAGAAGUUUCAAACUUUACGCCUACAGGAGCAGAAGUACUUUGAUGACAUGGUCCAGAAGUGCAAGGAUGUUGGUGCUACCUUAGUUAUCUGCCAGUGGGGUUUUGAUGAUGAAGCUAAUCACUUAUUAAUGCAUAGAAAUUUGCCCGCUGUUAGAUGGGUAGGUGGUGUGGAAUUGGAGCUGAUAGCAAUUGCCACAGGUGGGAGAAUAGUACCAAGGUUUCAAGAGUUGACAUCUGAAAAACUUGGCAAGGCUGGUAUUGUUCGGGAGAAAGCUUUCGGUACAACAAAGGAUAGAAUGAUUUACAUUGAGCAUUGUGCAAAUUCAAGAGCAGUAACUAUAUUUAUCCGUGGUGGCAAUAAGAUGAUGAUAGUGGAGACAAAACGUAGUAUCCAUGAUGCUUUAUGUGUUGCUAGAAAUCUUAUUCGCAACAAUUCAAUUGUGUAUGGUGGUGGUUCAGCAGAGAUUUCUUGCUCAAAUGCUGUUGAAGCGGCUGCUGAUAAACAUCCAGGAGUUGAACAGUAAGCAAUCAGGGCAUUUGCAGAUGCUUUGGAUUCUGUCCUAAUGGCACUUGCUAAGAACAGUGGUCUUCAGCCUAUUGAAACUCUAUCUGCUGUUAAGUCUCAGCAAAUUAAGGAGAAUAUUCCCUGCUGUGGAAUAGAUUGUAAUGAUGUUGGCACAAAUGACCAUAAAUCCUUGAACAGGAUUUCUAUUGAAUCCCAGCCAAUAUACAGAAAGAACCAAACCUUAUUCUGCUUUAUAUCUACUAGUGUAGUAAGCAUCUUUUCCAAGGCAGUAUUAAAUUCAAUCUUAUGCUUGAUGACACUCAACACCGCCGAAGAAAUUCAUAUCUUCAUGGCAACAAUCACUAAUAUUUUUACGAGAGAAAUUCUGAAGGAUGACUUGAACUAAUAAUAUCACCUUUUAAAGGAUAAAAGUGUCUUCUUUCCUUCAAUACUCAAUGUUGGAAAGGUUCCCCAAGCUUUACUAGCUCAUAGGAUGGACUUGAAUUUUGUUUUCUGAUCGUAAUUCUGCUUAUCAAAGAUCCAUGUCUAGUUUAAAAUUAAAGUUUGGUGUGUUUAUAGCCUUAAUCUAAAUUAUAAGAUCGUCGGUUAAAACUAAUUCAAAUUUUUUGAGACCAGAAUGAAGUUGCUGACUUAAAUGGAUGAUAGUGAUAUAAUUCAAAUACUUAUUAUUUUAUACACACUAGUGAUAUAAUAAAGACUGAUUUCUUUUACAUGUGUCCACCAAAAAUCCUUCUGUUAUGGUAGUAGUUGGUUUCUUUAAUUUGCUAUUUGAGCAAAAUGUUACUGGUUUGUUCAGUGCAUUGAAUCAAUGAGGAUGCAUUUGAAUUAAGCUGCAAUUCAGAAGAGUGAAGUUUGAUACUUAUUUUCAUUUGUAAAAUUUUGUAAUGCAGAUUUCCUUGAAACUCUAUGGAGGGAUGUUGAUAUGAACAGGCACCAUCACAAUCCUAAUGAGGAGUUGAAUCUUGUAAUUGUAUCCCAUGGUCUAGCUAGUCGAGUUUUUCUAAUGAAGUGGUUCAAGUGGACAGUGGAACAAUUCGAGUACCUAAACAAUCUAGGGAAUUGUGAGUUUCGAGUUAUGGAAUUAGGGGCGGGUGGUGAAUAUAGCCUAGCAGUCCAUCAUACUGAUGAAGAGAUGCUAGAAUGGGGUAUGUCCCCUGAGAUGAUCGCUGACCAAAAAUGGCGAGCUAAUGCUAACAGGGGUACUUUGAAUGAUCAUUGCCCUUGGUAC
Molecule: long non-coding RNA, 6251 nt
Filed under: Solanum tuberosum (potato)
Lineage: Eukaryota; Viridiplantae; Streptophyta; Magnoliopsida; Solanales; Solanaceae
Description: long non-coding RNA (STUB_LNC002263)
Source: RNAcentral